AUGCAAGCCUAUGACCCGCACUUACUGGGAAUUCAUCGUUCAUGGGGAAUAAUUGCAAUCCCCGAUCACCAUCACCAAUGGGGUUCAACAGGUUACCCGCGUCUGCCACAUAGGGUAGGCACACGCUGAGCCAGUCAAUGUAGCGUGCAUGCAGCACUGGACAUCUAAGGGCAUCACAGACCUGUUAUUGCUCAAUCUUGGGUGGCUGAAUGCCACUUGUCCCUCUGAGAAUUUGGGGGACGCCGACCGCUCGGGGGUUGCAUAACUAGUUAGCAUUCCACAGUCUUGUUCAUUAUCAGAAUUAACCAGACAAAUCACUUCACCAACUAAGGCCAUGCACCACCACUCAUGGAAUUGAGAAAGAGCUAUCAGUCAAACCUGUCCGUGUCCAGGCCGGGUGAUAUUUCCCGUGUUGAGUCAAAUUAAGCUGCAGGCUCCACUCCUGGUGGUGCCUUUCCACCAAUUCCUUUAAGUUUCAGCUUUGCAACCCUACUCCCCCAGAAACCCAAAAACCCAAAGACUGGUUCCUUGGAAGCUGCCCAGCGGGUCAUGGAAAUAACGCCGCUGCAUCGCCAGUCGGCAUUGUUUAUCGUCGGAACUACGACGCUAUCUGAUUGUCUUGGAACGUCCAACUUUCAUUCUUGGUUAACGAAAUCAUUCUUGGCAAAUGCUUUCGCUCUGGUCCGAACUGCGCCAGUCCAAGAAUUUCACCUCUAGCGGCGCAAUACGAAUGCCCCCGGCCAUCCCUCUUAAUCAUGGCCUCAGUUCCGAAAACCAACAAAAUAGAACCGCGGUCCUAUUCUAUCAUUCCUAGCUGCGGUAUCCAGGCGGCUCGGGCCUGCUUUGAAAACUCUAACUUUUUGAAAGUAAACGCUUCGGGCCACGGGACACUCAGCUAAGAGCAUCGAGGGGGU
This 914-nucleotide long non-coding RNA is filed under the name Pongo abelii (Sumatran orangutan). RNAcentral describes it as "lincRNA". Lineage: Eukaryota; Metazoa; Chordata; Mammalia; Primates; Hominidae. The record is from RNAcentral.